This 1341-nucleotide ribosomal RNA is filed under the name uncultured bacterium. RNAcentral describes it as "16S ribosomal RNA". It matches the Rfam family "Bacterial small subunit ribosomal RNA", at positions 28 to 1381 of the family's 1533-position model. The record is from RNAcentral.
GACGAACGCUGGCGGCGUGCUUAACACAUGCAAGUCGAACGGUAAGGCUCCAGCUUGCUGGGGUACACGAGUGGCGAACGGGUGAGUAACACGUGGGUGACCUGCCCUGCACUUCGGGAUAAGCCUGGGAAACUGGGUCUAAUACCGGAUAGGACCGCACCGUGAGGGUGUGGUGGAAAGUUUUUUCGGUGUGGGAUGGGCCCGCGGCCUAUCAGCUUGUUGGUGGGGUAAUGGCCUACCAAGGCGACGACGGGUAGCCGGCCUGAGAGGGUGGACGGCCACAUUGGGACUGAGACACGGCCCAGACUCCUACGGGAGGCAGCAGUGGGGAAUAUUGCACAAUGGGCGGAAGCCUGAUGCAGCGACGCCGCGUGGGGGAUGACGGCCUUCGGGUUGUAAACUCCUUUCACCAUCGACGAAGGGUUUCUGACGGUAGAUGGAGAAGAAGCACCGGCUAACUACGUGCCAGCAGCCGCGGUAAUACGUAGGGUGCGAGCGUUGUCCGGAAUUACUGGGCGUAAAGAGCUCGUAGGUGGUUUGUCGCGUCGUCUGUGAAAUUCCGGGGCUUAACUCCGGGCGUGCAGGCGAUACGGGCAUAACUUGAGUACUGUAGGGGAGACUGGAAUUCCUGGUGUAGCGGUGAAAUGCGCAGAUAUCAGGAGGAACACCGGUGGCGAAGGCGGAUCUCUGGGCAGUAACUGACGCUGAGGAGCGAAAGCAUGGGGAGCGAACAGGAUUAGAUACCCUGGUAGUCCAUGCCGUAAACGGUGGGCGCUAGGUGUGGGUUUCCUUCCACGGGAUCCGUGCCGUAGCUAACGCAUUAAGCGCCCCGCCUGGGGAGUACGGCCGCAAGGCUAAAACUCAAAGGAAUUGACGGGGGCCCGCACAAGCGGCGGAGCAUGUGGAUUAAUUCGAUGCAACGCGAAGAACCUUACCUGGGCUUGACAUAUACAGGAUCGCGCCAGAGAUGGUGUUUCCCUUGUGGCUUGUAUACAGGUGGUGCAUGGUUGUCGUCAGCUCGUGUCGUGAGAUGUUGGGUUAAGUCCCGCAACGAGCGCAACCCUUGUCUUAUGUUGCCAGCACGUUGUGGUGGGGACUCGUAAGAAACUGCCGGGGUUAACUCGGAGGAAGGUGGGGAUGACGUCAAAUCAUCAUGCCCCUUAUGUCCAGGGCUUCACACAUGCUACAAUGGUCGGUACAGUGGGUUGCCAGUCCGUGAGGGCGAGCUAAUCCCGCAAAGCCGGUCUCAGUUCGGAUCGGGGUCUGCAACUCGACCCCGUGAAGUCGGAGUCGCUAGUAAUCGCAGAUCAGCAACGCUGCGGUGAAUACGUUCCCGGGCCU